CACAUGUACCCACACACCAUGUCCUUAGAAUUCCAAAGAAACAUGUGCUAUCAUACCGUGUAAAGUACCCCUGUACUCCAAGACCCAGGACACCAUAUUGUUCCCAGACUAUUAACCAGUUUAAUGAUAUCCAGUGUUACCGUAACCCUCUGUCAGUGGUUCCAUCCAAAAUCAGUUGAGCUGGGCAAAUACAACUGCUGUCAUCACCUGAAAAUUUGCUGAGAAAGAGUUCAG
Pelobates cultripes (western spadefoot toad) is the source of this 234-nucleotide non-coding RNA. The record is from the annotation of a GenBank genome assembly. NCBI's taxonomy places the organism in Eukaryota, Metazoa, Chordata, Amphibia, Anura, Pelobatidae.